Molecule: ribosomal RNA, 229 nt
Filed under: uncultured Lactobacillus sp.
Lineage: Bacteria; Bacillati; Bacillota; Bacilli; Lactobacillales; Lactobacillaceae
Description: partial 16S ribosomal RNA
Rfam family: Bacterial small subunit ribosomal RNA
Source: RNAcentral
GAGAUCGGGAUAACACCUGGAAACAGAUGCUAAUACCGGAUAACAACAGAUGAUGCCUAUCUAACUGUUUAAAAGAUGGUUCUGCUAUCACUCUUGGAUGGACCUGCGGUGCAUUAGCUAGUUGGUAGGGUAACGGCCUACCAAGGCGAUGAUGCAUAGCCGAGUUGAGAGACUGAUCGGCCACAUUGGGACUGAGACACGGCCCAAACUCCUACGGGAGGCAGCAGAC